GACGAACGCUGGCGGCGUGCUUAACACAUGCAAGUCGAGCGGUAAGGCCCUUUCGGGGGUACGACGAGCGGCGAACGGGUGAGUAACACGUGGGUGACCUGCCCUCCAGCUCUGGGAGUAAGCCUGGGAAACUCGGUCUAAUACUGGAUAUGACUCCACGGUGCAUGUCGUGGGGUGGAAAGCCUUGUGCGGCUGAGGAUGGGCCCGCGGCCUAUCAGCUUGUUGGUGGGGUGAUGGCCUACCAAGGCGACGACGGGUAGCCGGCCUGAGAGGGCGACCGGCCACAUUGGGACUGAGACACGGCCCAGACUCCUACGGGAGGCAGCAGUGGGGAAUCUUGCGCAAUGGGCGAAAGCCUGACGCAGCGACGCCGCGUGAGGGAUGACGGCCU
Molecule: ribosomal RNA, 391 nt
Filed under: uncultured bacterium
Lineage: Bacteria
Description: bacterial SSU rRNA
Rfam family: Bacterial small subunit ribosomal RNA
Source: RNAcentral